UGCCAGCAGCCGCGGUAAUACUGAAGGUGCAAGCGUUAAUCGGAAUCACUGGGCGUAAAGCGCUCGUAGGUGGCUUUGUAAGUCAGAUGUGAAAGCCCACGGCUCAACCGUGGAAUUGCAUUUGAUACUGCAUCGCUAGAGUAUAGGAGAGGGAAGUGGAACUUCUGGUGUAGAGGUGAAAUUCGUAGAUAUUCGGAGGAACACCAGUGGCGAAGGCGACUUCCUGGACUAUUACUGACACUGAGGAGCGAAAGCGUGGGGAGCAAACAGGAUUAGAUA
RNAcentral lists this ribosomal RNA (279 nucleotides) under uncultured bacterium. RNAcentral describes it as "partial 16S ribosomal RNA". It matches the Rfam family "Bacterial small subunit ribosomal RNA", at positions 506 to 784 of the family's 1533-position model. The record is from RNAcentral.